GCAUUGGUGGUUCGGGUAGAAUUCUUGCCUUCCAUGUGGGAGGCUUGGGUUCUAUUCCCAACCGAUGCC
RNAcentral lists this transfer RNA (69 nucleotides) under Loxodonta africana (African savanna elephant). It matches the Rfam family "tRNA". Rfam says of the family: Transfer RNA (tRNA) molecules are approximately 80 nucleotides in length. The record is from Rfam by way of RNAcentral. Lineage: Eukaryota; Metazoa; Chordata; Mammalia; Proboscidea; Elephantidae.